AGUUAUGCUACGGACCAUUUAAAAUUAAUUACGAUUUUCGAUUCAUUCAAUUAUAUUUCAUUAAAAAUACCCCUCUAGAAAAUUCUUUGGAGACGCCUAUUUAAUCGCCUAGGUGCCUAUUUUCGCAGCGAAGCAAGAGGAAAGCACCGCGCAUGUUUCUAUCGGAUCGAUACGAAUCGAUUUCCGAUAACAUUGAACAGCAGUUGGUCAGGAAACGGCUCGAAGGGCGGAUGGCGCGCCGCGAGUGAGGUUAUUCUCACUUUUAAGUGACGGGAUUGAAACAAAUUUUCGAUGGAAAUCAAAUAAUUAGAAGGAAAUUAAGCGUCAGCUAAUCCCAUCUACAAAACUAGAUAACCAAAGUUAAACAUGUCUUUGGACUUCUUCACAUAACAGAAGUGGAUAUUCCGGCGUGCCUGCCUUGUUUCAAUCCCGUAACUUAGUUAUUUAGUCACACAACGUGACUCUAUCACGUUAAUUAUGUACUAGUUAGAUUGCUAGCCACUCUGUGAUGGUUUAUCCCUAGAGUGGGCUGUUUUUGUUGGAUAAUACACCAUACCUGAUUUUACUACAACCAGCAUCUUCACCCAGGACCUUGCAGUAGGACUUACUCACCACAGCAGCCAACCAGCGUUAGCGUGCCAAAAGAAUUCAUCUCUAUGGACUUGCAACCCUACUUUUAACCGGCUGUUGUGUAAAAGUUAAGUUUAUUUACUUUUUCUGUAUUUACUUUUGGGUAAGAUAUAUUUGCUACAUUGUAAACUUUUCGUAUGCAUACGAUUAGGAAGAGUACAUAUAUUUUCGUGAUAGAUAG
Long non-coding RNA from Diabrotica virgifera virgifera (western corn rootworm), 811 nucleotides. RefSeq lists it as uncharacterized. The transcript is spliced from 2 exons. The record is from RefSeq and is a predicted model, not a curated record. Lineage: Eukaryota; Metazoa; Arthropoda; Insecta; Coleoptera; Chrysomelidae.